Non-coding RNA from Pelobates cultripes (western spadefoot toad), 1286 nucleotides. The record is from the annotation of a GenBank genome assembly. Lineage: Eukaryota; Metazoa; Chordata; Amphibia; Anura; Pelobatidae.
UAACCAAGUACUAUAUAUGUAAUAAACAUUGGAGAUUUAGACAUACAUAAAUGGCCAAGAUGAAUGCAACCCACCACUGCGCCAAAAUACUCCAAUUACGGUGGGUCUUAACUGUCUAGAUAUGCAUGACUAAAAGUACAACAAUAAAACACACACAGUAUUUACCUGCAAGGAAAGGAGCAGAUGAAUGAGACCACUGCUUGCAGGAACAGACUGAAACAAAAAGGAUAAAUGGCAAAGGAACACGUGUGGCAACAAAAAAACAUAUACAGGAAUCCAGGAACGGAAUAAAGGAAUGAACCCAGAGAACCCAUCAUAAAUAAAACCAGACCUAGAAUAGAUAACCAGAAAAAAACAAGAAAACUAAACAAAAAUUGUAAAAAGAGUACUGGUUACCAGAAGCCAUGGCCAGAAAUGAUCCGCAAACAGGAACAGGAUGUGACAUAUGCAUGCACAAUUAGCAGCUACCACUAUCGUGUACGUGUCUACUAUAUUCCAAACAAAAAUGCAAACAAGCUAAAUUUAUUUUUAGUAUGAAUUUGAAAGUAAUAAAGUGUGGCCACCCUAGAUCUUUCAGUUUAAAGAAAUUCAUAUUAAAUCACCUUUGUAUGCCAUUUCAUCAUGAAACACAGCAUGGGGGAGGGGGUAGACUCACUGUCCACUUUAAAUGUCAAAUUGAUUUCUGAUUUCACCAUUCUACAUCAUAAAUCCCUUCGUCCCCAGAGUACCCAAUACCUUGAUCCUUAAGAUAUAUGUAUAAUAUUUGACAUUUCCCUGUCCUUGAUUCGCUAUGCUGCCAAUAUAUUUAAUGAUGCAUUUUUUGUGAAAUUGAUGCCAUUUUCACUUAGAUUUUCAGUACAGAAUGCCAAUGUGUUCAGUGCUCCAAUGUAGUUUUGAACAUGGAUGUGGACAGGUCUAAGUCUUCCUCAACAUCACACAUCUCAGAUGGACACUGAAUUUGCAUUCUCUUGUAUCGACUGCUACUAUGAUGUAUGGUGGGUAUAGGGAUUAUAUACAUAUUUCAAUGGUACAUAACAUCCACUUGUAUAAACAUAUAUAUUUAGUUUCUGUGCCUCUACUUGCUUUCUUUUUUUAUUUUUUUUAUUUCCACUCCUACUUAACAGAUAGAGAUAGUUUUGUACACAUGUCGGAAAGUACAUGGACCAACUUUACAGACAACAACAUGAAAAACUUUAGUUGAUCCUAUGUCUUCUGGCAAGUGUACAAUAUAUUCCUACAACAGCAUAUUAUUUCAUAUGUAGCCAACUAGAAAAAAACAUGGUAGA